CGAAGAUGUUCCCUGAAAUUAAUUAGGUAGCAGAGAUUAGAAUAGACCAGAUAAGCAUAUAAGGCAACAACAUUUGAUAAUAUGAUGAAAAUUUGGUAAAUUUUCUGGGCAAACUAGCAUGAUGCUUAGACAUUAGUCAUGACCGAUUAUAAGGUUUUAGCAUUGCGUUCAUCUUCUCAGUACCUCAGUGAAACAGAAAAAAGAAAAACAAAAUGAUAUAUAUAUAUAACUUAUUCCUCCAUUUUUUCUGGCAAUCAUAUAGAGGAAAAGGGCAAAUAUUUUCCCUUUUAAACAUUUCAAUUCUGAAAAAACCAGCAGUAAUCAACUACUCAUACCGCAACAUAAUAUCUUUGAACAACGUCAGAAAGACUAAACCAACAAGAGGAGGGAAACCAUGAGAAUUUUUUACAAGAUUGAGAUAUAAAUCCAUAAGCUUCAUG
Molecule: unclassified non-coding RNA, 440 nt
Filed under: Hevea brasiliensis (rubber tree)
Lineage: Eukaryota; Viridiplantae; Streptophyta; Magnoliopsida; Malpighiales; Euphorbiaceae
Source: RNAcentral